ACUCUUCAACCCACCGGUUCCUGGUUGGAUCGAGUUGGUGUUUGGAUCUUGAAUGUUGCUGGCUUGAUUUCUUAGGAAGUGAAAGCGUAGCUCGUUCGUAAUACAUUAGCAUCUCAAUUUCUGAACUUCGGAUUGACUCAGCGUUAUAGACUAUUCGCUGAGGACACAAGUAACAUUGUGGCCGAGUUGAAAGAUAACUAGAAGCUUCUAAUCCCUUACUAGUCAAAACUAUAAGA
RNAcentral lists this unclassified non-coding RNA (236 nucleotides) under Slooffia tsugae. Its description in RNAcentral is "ITS 2". Lineage: Eukaryota; Fungi; Basidiomycota; Microbotryomycetes; Chrysozymaceae. The record is from RNAcentral.